UGGGGAAUAUUGGACAAUGGGGGGAACCCUGAUCCAGCCAUGCCGCGUGUGUGAAGAAGGCCUUAUGGUUGUAAAGCACUUUAAGCGAGGAGGAGGGUACUGGUAUUAAUACUACCAGCUACUGGACGUUACUCGCAGAAUAAGCACCGGCUAACUCUGUGCCAGCAGCCGCGGUAAUACAGAGGGUGCGAGCGUUAAUCGGAUUUACUGGGCGUAAAGCGUGCGUAGGCGGCUAAUUGAGUCGGAUGUGAAAUCCCCGAGCUUAACUUGGGAAUUGCAUUCGAUACUGGUUAGCUAGAGGGUGGGAGAGGAUGGUAGAAUUCCAGGUGUAGCGGUGAAAUGCGUAGAGAUCUGGAGGAAUACCGAUGGCGAAGGCAGCCAUCUGGCCUAACACUGACGCUGAGGUACGAAAGCAUGGGGAGCAAACAGG
Molecule: ribosomal RNA, 430 nt
Filed under: Pseudomonadota bacterium
Lineage: Bacteria; Pseudomonadati; Pseudomonadota
Description: Proteobacteria bacterium partial 16S ribosomal RNA
Rfam family: Bacterial small subunit ribosomal RNA
Source: RNAcentral